This 203-nucleotide ribosomal RNA is filed under the name uncultured bacterium. Its description in RNAcentral is "partial 16S ribosomal RNA". It matches the Rfam family "Bacterial small subunit ribosomal RNA", at positions 524 to 727 of the family's 1533-position model. The record is from RNAcentral.
UACAGAGGGUGCAAGCGUUAAUCGGAAUCACUGGGCUUAAAGCGUUCGUAGGCGGGCUUGCAGGCGCGUUGUGAAAGCCCCCGGCUCAACCGGGGAACUGCUUGCGAACCGCAAGUCUUGAGUCAAGUAGGGGCGGUCGGAACGAUAGGUGGAGCGGUGAAAUGCGCAGAUAUCAGGAGGAACACCGAUGGCGAAGGCAGGCU